GUGGGCUGCGGUCGACGAUUCCUACGGGAGGCAGCAGUGAGGAAUAUUGGACAAUGGAGGCAACUCUGAUCCAGCCAUGCCGCGUGCAGGAAGACUGCCCUAUGGGUUGUAAACUGCUUUUAUACAGGAAGAAUAGUACCUACGUGUAGGUAUUUGACGGUACUGUACGAAUAAGGAUCGGCUAACUCCGUGCCAGCAGCCGCGGUAAUACGGAGGAUCCAAGCGUUAUCCGGAAUCAUUGGGUUUAAAGGGUCCGUAGGCGGUCUGAUAAGUCAGAGGUGAAAUCCUGCAGCUCAACUGUAGCAUUGCCUUUGAUACUGUUAGACUUGAGUUAUUGUGAAGUAGUUAGAAUGUGUGGUGUAGCGGUGAAAUGCAUAGAUAUCACACAGAAUACCGAUUGCGAAGGCAGAUUACUAACAAUAUACUGACGCUGAGGGACGAAAGCGUGGGUAGCGAACAGGAUUAGAUACCCUGGUAGUCCACGCCGUAAACGAUGGAUACUAGCUGUUCGAUCAACAUUGGUUGGUUGAGUGGCUAAGCGAAAGUGAUAAGUAUCCCACCUGGGGAGUACGCUCGCAAGAGUGAAACUCAAAGGAAUUGACGG
Molecule: ribosomal RNA, 604 nt
Filed under: uncultured Bacteroidota bacterium
Lineage: Bacteria; Pseudomonadati; Bacteroidota
Description: bacterial SSU rRNA
Rfam family: Bacterial small subunit ribosomal RNA
Source: RNAcentral